CUGGGGAGGCCUGGGAGACGGCCUUGGAGGCAGGUCUCCACAAUCGACGCUGUGUUCCCGCUGUGAGUUCGGACUCCAGAUGGUCCCCCGGAACCCGGAGCUGGGUUGGUAGCGAGCAGCUGCGCCUACCCCAGGACUCUCGGGAGGCUCUCCUUGCAGAAGGAGCAAGCGAGCCCGCAGAGGCAGAGCGCAGAAGGGCGUUUAUUUUUAGAGGCUUGCUGGCAUUUCUCACUGGCCGCCCCGGGGCCCAGGGCAGACGCAGUCCCUUCACCCUGGCACAUCCCCGUCCCGUGCGCUGAUGUCCAGGCCAAGUGCCGACCCCUCCCGCUUUCAAAACGCUCUUCAGUUUUGGUGACAAUGGGACAGGAAGGGCCCCUCGGAGCAUGCUGACGGGACAAUGGGUUCACCAAAGCCACGGUGAAGAGAAGCGUACAGAAGAGAGGGUGUCCGUGCACAGCCUGCUGGAUGGGAUUCCAGGGGCCUGCAACCGGGAGCGGAGUCCCCUCCUACAGUGAGUGGUUCUCAGAAAAGCUGGGGGGCAGAGGUACCAAUCGGGUCAUAGGCUGGGGAGCAGACACAAGUUGGGGAGGAAGGGCCCUAGGGCCGGAGCGGGUGGCCCUACAGUGGCCAGAUGUGUUUGUGGGCGUUCACACAGGGAACUGGUGGUGUGAGCUACUGCGGCCCCCACCCUGCCGCCCUCGCUCACACAGCAUCUGUGCGCAUCUCACAGACCAGAGUGCGGGCUGAGGAGCAGGGUUGCGCCCAGGCGGGCAGAGCAGACCCACGACGGCGCGUCUGAGCACACCGGACUGGGGAUGAGGCUCCAGUCGGUCAGCCCAGAAGUCCCAGGCCAGCGCCAGGGAGCUCCUGUCACCCACAGAGAGGGAGUACGGAGCCUGGACGGGCAGCUCUCCAAUGACACCUGCCGGCCAGAGCACCCUCCUUCCCACUGUGACAGUACCUGCCGGGCUUGCCAGGCCGUGCUGGGUGCUGGGCGCUGAGUGCUGAGUGCUGAGCGCUGAGUGCUGGGCCUUCACUCGGUGUCUGUGACUCCCCACCCAGCUCAAGCAGCGAGUUCAUUUCAGGGCGGGGCAAACGGAGCAGGUGUGUGCGCACACUCCCUUCUCCCCCUCCCAGGCACCCCCACAGGUGCACACACACACACACACGCACACGCACACGCACGCACGUCCCCCGAGGCCGUGUGGCCCGCCUGCCCGCUGACACUGCGGAGCUCUCUCCGGGAACCCCACGGAAGGCCGGCUUCGGGGAGGGCUGGGGAAGCCUGCGUGUCUGCCGCCAGCCACGGGAAAGGCCCCUCCGCGGGGGGCGCAGCUGAGAGUGUGGUCACCAAAGGGUGUGGCUUUGGGGUCCGGCCUCACCGGUGUGUCCAGCAAGUGCCUGAGCUGAAGCCGUGGUGUGGCCGGCCCCCCGCACAGCCUCGGCACGCCCGGAGCUCCCCCUCGCGGACAGAGCGGGAAGGUGCCGCUAGACCCCCUGGGCGACUCGCUCGAGUCCUCGCCCGAGUCCUCAGGGACACCAAGAUCACCCACCUUGCCUGUGAUAGGCAACAUAGUUUAUUUCUGUUUUCAAAAUUAUUUCCAGCUGAACAAAGUUAGUAAAAAUUCAAAGGGAAGAACGCAACAGAUAGAACAAAUAGUAGUUUUUUCCUAAGAAACCCAUUUUAGAGGGAUUUGUGUACAAAAGAGGAUAACACAGGGAGCAUUGAGUCCAAUAGCUGUGGAUUGCUACAUAAUCACGUAAUUACAAGAUUGUAACUCAGAUAAGGAGGUGAUGUCGAGUCCGUAGGAUCCUAACCACCGGUGGGCACAGUGGAGCACCUGAGCGCCCAGCGGGCACCUGAGACCUUCCCCUGGGAGCCCCGCAGGCAGGCAGGGUGUCAGCAGCAGAGGAAGCUGGCUGGCGUCCGCAGCCAGGCCACACAUGGGGUGCACCCAUCGGCUAAGGGGCUCAUACGGACACCCUCUUGGAUGAUGCCCACAGCCCCACCCCCACCCCACCCCCAGCACGUACUCCCACACAGAAGGGCUCGCCGGCCUUCCUUGUGUGGACGCAGAGGCCGAGUCUGCCAGACGGGGUCGGGCACCUGCUUUCGUGGGGGUCCUCCGGCCGCAUGGCCUCACUGCGAUGGGAACGCAUCAACUGAACACCGUCAAGUCCUCACAGAAAGUCAUCCUCGACUGGGAGCCGCCCCAGGACAGGCAGGGGACCUGCGGCCGUGUUUGGUGAGCAGGGAGCACCGGCCCCCAGCCCAGCGGGUCGCAGACACCCCCACGCUGGCCAGGCCUCCAGGGGCACUGGGUGUGUGAACUGCAUGAACUUGCCAUCUGGAGGAGAUUCUGAUCCACCACUUGGACUCAUACCACUCCGAACAUUAUCCGCGGACUUUCUGGUCUAUUUAAAAAUAGCAACACAACUCCACUGCUUAUUUUAAAAAGGGAACACUCCGUGAAUAUAAU
RNAcentral lists this long non-coding RNA (2480 nucleotides) under Canis lupus familiaris (dog). Its description in RNAcentral is "lncRNA (ENSCAFG00845026736.1)". Lineage: Eukaryota; Metazoa; Chordata; Mammalia; Carnivora; Canidae. The record is from RNAcentral.